UCCGAGUUGACCCCGGCAGUCUCCUGCGAGUCCCCGCCAUUACGCGCUGGCAACACAGGACAAGGGUUGCGCUCGUUGCGGGACUUAACCCAACAUCUCACGACACGAGCUGACGACAGCCAUGCACCACCUGUAUACCGACCACAAGGGGGGCCGUAUCUCUACGGCUUUCCGGUAUAUGUCAAACCCAGGUAAGGUUCUUCGCGUUGCAUCGAAUUAAACCACAUGCUCCACCGCUUGUGUGAGCCCCCGUCAAUUCCUUUGAGUUUCGGCCUUGCGACUGUACUUCCCAGGCGGGGCACUUAACACAUUAGCUCCAGCAGGGAGAGCAUCGGAACUCCCCCUGCCUAGUGCCCAUCGUUUACGGCUUGGACUAC
This 377-nucleotide unclassified non-coding RNA is filed under the name uncultured bacterium. Its description in RNAcentral is "contains 16S-23S intergenic spacer region". The record is from RNAcentral.